Molecule: ribosomal RNA, 801 nt
Filed under: uncultured bacterium
Lineage: Bacteria
Description: bacterial SSU rRNA
Rfam family: Bacterial small subunit ribosomal RNA
Source: RNAcentral
AGAGUUUGAUCCUGGCUCAGGAUGAACGCUGGCGGCGUGCCUAACACAUGCAAGUCGAGCGGGGAAGCCGGAACAUGUAGAGAUAUAUGAGAAAGCAUCCUAGCGGCGGACGGGUGAGUAACACGUGAGGAACCUGCCUUACACAGGGGAAUAACACCGUGAAAACGGUGCUAAUACCGCAUAACACCGCACUAUGGCAUCAUAGAGCGGUCAAAGGAGAAGUCCGGUGUAAGAUGGCCUCGCGCCCGAUUAGUUAGUUGGUGGGGUAAUGGCCUACCAAGACUGCGAUCGGUAGCCGGACUGAGAGGUCGAACGGCCACAUUGGAACUGAGAGACGGUCCAGACUCCUACGGGAGGCAGCAGUGGGGAAUAUUGGGCAAUGGGGGAAACCCUGACCCAGCAACGCCGCGUGAAGGAAGAAGGCCUUCGGGUUGUAAACUUCUUUGAUCAGGGAAGAAACAAAUGACGGUACCUGAAAAACAAGCCACGGCUAACUACGUGCCAGCAGCCGCGGUAAUACGUAGGUGGCAAGCGUUAUCCGGAUUUACUGGGUGUAAAGGGCGUGUAGGCGGUCUCAUAAGUCAGAUGUGAAAUUUCCGGGCUUAACCCGGGCACUGCAUCUGAAACUGUGGGACUUGAGUACUGGAGAGGAUAGUGGAAUUCCUAGUGUAGCGGUAAAAUGCGUAGAUAUUAGGAGGAACACCGGUGGCGAAGGCGACUAUCUGGACAGUAACUGACGCUGAGGCGCGAAAGCGUGGGGAGCAAACAGGAUUAGAUACCCUGGUAGUCCACGCCGUAAAC